This is a long non-coding RNA of Triticum dicoccoides, 685 nucleotides long. RefSeq lists it as uncharacterized. The record is from RefSeq and is a predicted model, not a curated record. NCBI's taxonomy places the organism in Eukaryota, Viridiplantae, Streptophyta, Magnoliopsida, Poales, Poaceae. The transcript is spliced from 3 exons.
CUUGCGAUAUGGGCUAAGAAGAUAACUACCGUGAAGAAAGAGAUCGAUCUCUCACCUCUAAACCUAGCGCCGCCAUGCCGCGACGCCUCCUCUGCCAAGCUCCUCUCCUUCCAAUCCCCCGACUCGCCAUCGUAGGUCCACCGCCCUGCGCUCGCCGGGCGCCAGCAGCAGCCCCGGGGACGCUGUCCUCCAGGCGGCGCCCCAGCCCCAGUACGCCCGUCCUCCAGGCGGCGGUCAGCCCCAGUACGCCCGUCCUCCAGGCGACGGCCCAUCAUCAGGAACACGGUGAUUUGGAGGCCACGAGGGAUCCUGCGAUCGAGCGCACAAGGCCUGGUCACUGGAUCUUUAGCAAUAGCUUGGCCAGUUCAUCUGUAGUAUGUCUCUACACUUCAUAUGGUUACAUGACAUCUACCAGACUAGAUUGAACUUCUGCAGUGCAUGUUUACCUCGAUGAGAAAAAACUUCUAUGUACGGAUUUUGAAGGCAGCAACCACUAGGAUAAACUAGAGACGCAGAGAAAACAAGGAGCUAUUGUUCCAUUAUCAGCAUGUAGAUACUACAAGUCAUAGAUGUUUCAACUAGUUUGUGAGACAUGUAAUUCUUUUAUAGACGAUGUGUACAAUUGAGUUUAUAAGCUACUACUGGCUCCUUCUCUCAGUAAUGGUAUAAAACAACAUUAUUAUUU